UGCUGUGUGCGUGCUGCACUGCUGACUUUGCAUGAAUUUGUAUGGUCUUGGCGGAGCGGCGGGUGCUGAUGCGACCGACUGACUUCUUUUUUUCAAACCCCAUACAUAACUUACUGAUUAUACUGUGAGAACGAAAGUUCUUGCUUUUACUAGAUAACAACUUUCAGCAGUGGAUGUCUAGGCUCGCACAUCGAUGAAGAACGCUGCGAACUGCGAUACGUAAUGCGAAUUGCAGAAUUCAGUGAGUCAUCGAAAUUUUGAACGCAUAUUGCACUUCCGGGUUAUACCUGGAAGUAUGUCUGUAUCAGUGUCCGUAAAUCAAACUUGCGUUUCUUCCUUCCGUGUAGUCGGUGGAGGAGAGUUGCAGAUGUGAAGUGUCUCGCAGUGGUUGGUAUAAGCAUCUAUUUGUUUAUGCACAAGUUGCGAGUCCUUUUAAAUGGACACGACUUUCUCUUUUUUGUAUCUGCGCGGUGCUGUGCGUGAACGCGGCGGUUUUCGGAUCGCUCGCGGCUGUCGGCGACUUCGGUGAAUGCAUUAUGGAGUGGACCUCGAUUCGCGGUAUGUUGGGCUUCGGCUGGACAAUGUUGCUUAUUGUGUGUCUGUUCCGCGUUCGCCUUGAGGUGUACUGGUGGCUGUGGGUUUGAACUGGUUUCUGUUGUUGGUAGUGCGCGAGUCCAUGUCGUGGGAUGCAUCUGUUUUUUUUGCGUGCACUUCUUUGUGGGCAAUUGACAGAAGAGGAGUCUCAAUUUGGGAAAUYUGUUCUCCGGGUUGAUCCUGCGUGUAUAUCUCAAUGG
RNAcentral lists this ribosomal RNA (794 nucleotides) under Pythium sp. CAL-2011f. RNAcentral's name for it is "eukaryotic LSU rRNA". The stretch from base 159 to 313 matches the Rfam family "5.8S ribosomal RNA". The record is from RNAcentral. Lineage: Eukaryota; Oomycota; Peronosporomycetes; Pythiales; Pythiaceae.